RNAcentral lists this long non-coding RNA (505 nucleotides) under Ananas comosus (pineapple). RNAcentral's name for it is "long non-coding RNA (ACOM_LNC006168)". The record is from RNAcentral. Lineage: Eukaryota; Viridiplantae; Streptophyta; Magnoliopsida; Poales; Bromeliaceae.
AACAAUUUCUCCCAAGAACUAAUCGUCCCUAGAGCAAGUGGCAAAGGGCUUGGUGAUUGAUACCCGAGACCCAAAUUCGAAUCCUAGCUAGUUGAUUCACAUUUCCAGCUAAGUUUAUUUUUAAAUGAAAUAAAACGAAGCGGAUAGCGUACUACCUAUCCCUCUCUCAAAAAAAAAAAAAAAAAAAACAAUUUCUCCCAAGAGGACGUAGAAAAAGGUUUUGGGAUUUAAUCCCUUUCAUGGUAAUAUACAAAGAACGUGGAAAUUAGCAUCGACUUUUCCCUUGUUUGAUCGGCCGUCUCUAGCGCAAGUGGUAAAGAGUUUGGUGGUUAGUACCCGAGGUUCUAAGUUCGAAUCCUAGUUGAUUCACAUUUCCAGCUAAGUUUAUUUCUAAAUGAAAUAAACGAAAUGGAUAGCGUGCUACCUAUCUCUCAAAAAAAAAUAUUUAAUUUAAGUUUUUUUAAUAAUCUGAAUAAAAAAAAAACGAUAUUAAUUCAUUCAAAUU